AUUGAACGCUGGCGGCAUGCCUUACACAUGCAAGUCGAACGGCAGCACGGGUGCUUGCACCUGGUGGCGAGUGGCGAACGGGUGAGUAAUACAUCGGAACGUACCUUAUCGUGGGGGAUAACGCAGCGAAAGCUGUGCUAAUACCGCAUACGCCCUGAGGGGGAAAGCGGGGGAUCGCAAGACCCCGCGCGAUUAGAGCGGCCGAUGCCUGAUUGGCUAGUUGGUGGGGGAAAAGCCCACCAAGGCGACGAUCAGUAGCUGGUCGGAGAGGACGAUCAGCCACACUGGGACUGAGACACGGCCCAGCCCCCUACGUGAGGCAGCAGUGGGGAAUUUUGGACAAUGUGGGUAACCCUGAUCCAGCAAUGCCGCGUGAGUGAAGAAGGCCUUCGGGGUGUAAAGCUCUUUUGCCAGGGAAGAAACACCGGCUCUAACACAGUCCGGGAAUGACGGUACCUGAAGAAUAAGCACCGGCUAACUACGUGCCAGCCGCCGCCGUAA
This 501-nucleotide ribosomal RNA is filed under the name uncultured bacterium. Its description in RNAcentral is "partial 16S ribosomal RNA". It matches the Rfam family "Bacterial small subunit ribosomal RNA", at positions 29 to 523 of the family's 1533-position model. The record is from RNAcentral.